This 430-nucleotide ribosomal RNA is filed under the name uncultured bacterium. RNAcentral describes it as "partial 16S ribosomal RNA". It matches the Rfam family "Bacterial small subunit ribosomal RNA", at positions 29 to 507 of the family's 1533-position model. The record is from RNAcentral.
AACGAACGCUGGCGGCAGGCUUAACACAUGCAAGUCGAGCGCCCCGCCAGGGGAGCGGCAGACGGGUGAGUAACGCGUGGGAACGUACCUUUUGGUUCGGAACAACUCCGGGAAACUGGAGCUAAUACCGGAUAAGCCCUAACGGGAAAGAUUUAUCGCCGAAAGAUCGGCCCGCGUCUGAUUAGCUAGUUGGUGAGGUAACGGCUCACCAAGGCGACGAUCAGUAGCUGGUCUGAGAGGAUGAUCAGCCACACUGGGACUGAGACACGGCCCAGACUCCUACGGGAGGCAGCAGUGGGGAAUAUUGGACAAUGGGCGCAAGCCUGAUCCAGCCAUGCCGCGUGAGUGAUGAAGGCCUUAGGGUUGUAAAGCUCUUUUGUCCGGGAAGAUAAUGACUGUACCGGAAGAAUAAGCCCCGGCUAACUUCGUG